This 501-nucleotide ribosomal RNA is filed under the name uncultured bacterium. Its description in RNAcentral is "partial 16S ribosomal RNA". It matches the Rfam family "Bacterial small subunit ribosomal RNA", at positions 30 to 523 of the family's 1533-position model. The record is from RNAcentral.
AUUGAACGCUGGCGGCAGGCCUAACACAUGCAAGACGAGCGGAUGAGGAGUGCUUGCACUCCGAUUCAGCGGCGGACGGGUGAGUAAUGCCUAGGAAUCUGCCUGGUAGUGGGGGACAACGUUUCGAAAGGAACGCUAAUACCGCAUACGUCCUACGGGAGAAAGUGGGGGAUCUUCGGACCUCACGCUAUCAGAUGAGCCUAGGUCGGACUAGCUAGGUGGUGAGGUAAAGGCUCGACCAAGGGGACGAUCCGUAACUGGUCUGAGAGGAUGAACGGUAACACUGGAACUGAGACACGGUCCAGACUCCUACGGGAGGCAGCAGUGGGGAAUAUUGGACAAUGGGCGAAAGCCUGAUCCAGCCAUGCCGCGUGUGUGAAGAAGGUCUUCGGAUUGUAAAGCACUUUAAGUUGGGAGGAAGGGCUGUAGGCUAAUAUCCUGCAGUUUUGACGUUACCGACAGAAUAAGCACCGGCUAACUUCGUGCCAGCCGCCGCCGUAA